ACAGGGUUGUGACUGGUGUGUUAUAUCAAGAGGAAAACUAAAAAGGUAGAAUGUGAGGAUGUUGCCAAAAACAUGUGUUUAGAGUAAACAGGAAAGUACCUGUUCAUCUCUCUGUCUUCUCCCUGUCUCUGUCUGCUUUUCAAUGUUUAGCAUGUUCAAAUAAAGACCUACAGAUGGAGUUGAGACUGGUGUUGUACAUCAGGUGGAAAACUAAAAAGGUUAGAAUGCGAGGAUGUUGCCAAAAGCAUAUGUUGGAAAUAAACAGGAAAAAGUACCGCCUACAAUGUUGCCUCCAGUGGUUGGCUGUGCGUGUGCUGGGAAUGAGGCCUGAUUGGAGUCAGAUGUGCAGACUGUUCUGAGCUGCAAAUACUAUCACAUGCAGUCAGUUGAAAGCACACAAAAAAUUCAACUCUCUCCAUGAAGUCAAACAAAACAGAAGAGUCCAGAAUUUGUAUCACUCCAUGUCACAUAGUCAACAACCACGGCAAUCAAAACAGACGAGUGAAGUCCCUUCAAUCCAAAACAAAGAGUCUACAGAAGGACUACAUACCACAAAUGUUUUUUACAGAUGCAGGCUGAAACAGAAAAUUCAGCCGGACUGACUGAAACUUUCCAUCCACUCUGUUCUUGUUUUGCGGCCAAUUUUCCUGUUAAAGUGACUUUUUUUUUCUGGUUCUCUCUGGAGAUCUUCUGAAUAAAUGUUUUCAGCUAUUGGCCUUUUAUUUUUAAA
Notolabrus celidotus (New Zealand spotty) is the source of this 730-nucleotide long non-coding RNA. RefSeq lists it as uncharacterized. The transcript has 3 exons. NCBI's taxonomy places the organism in Eukaryota, Metazoa, Chordata, Actinopteri, Labriformes, Labridae. The record is from RefSeq and is a predicted model, not a curated record.